RNAcentral lists this transfer RNA (67 nucleotides) under Micronychus sp. UPOL MT0021. Its description in RNAcentral is "tRNA-Glu". Lineage: Eukaryota; Metazoa; Arthropoda; Insecta; Coleoptera; Lycidae. The record is from RNAcentral.
AUUUCUAUUUAUGUAGUUUAGAUAAAACAUUACAUUUUCAUUGUAAAAUCAAAUAUUAAUUUUAUAA